UGGCGGACGGGUGAGUAACGCGUGGGAAUCUGCCUCUUACUGGGGGAUAACAGUGGGAAACUACUGCUAAUACCGCAUAAGAUCUUCGGAUGAAAGGUGCAACUGCACCGGUAAGAGAUGAGCCCGCGUCCCAUUAGCUAGUUGGUGAGGUAAAGGCUCACCAAGGCGACGAUGGGUAGCCGGCCUGAGAGGGUGAACGGCCACACUGGGACUGAGACACGGCCCAGACUCCUACGGGAGGCAGCAGUAGGGAAUCUUCCGCAAUGGGCGCAAGCCUGACGGAGCGACGCCGCGUGAGUGAUGAAGGCCUUCGGGUCGUAAAGCUCUGUUCUUGAGGACGAAUAAGCCAGGGAGUGGAAAGCCCUGGUGAUGACUGUACUCAAGGAGAAAGCUCCGGCUAACUACGUGCCAGCAGCCGCGGUAAUACGUAGGGAGCUAGCGUUGUCCGGAAUUACUGGGUGUA
This 463-nucleotide ribosomal RNA is filed under the name uncultured bacterium. Its description in RNAcentral is "bacterial SSU rRNA". It matches the Rfam family "Bacterial small subunit ribosomal RNA", at positions 96 to 562 of the family's 1533-position model. The record is from RNAcentral.